GUCUCACCACCAAACAUAGCUUGCUUGAAAAGCAACUAAAUGGAAACAUUUCUUGCACCUAUAUUUUGACACUAAUUAUCAUUUGGGCAUUUAUAGAGUGCAUUGCUACUCCUAAGUCUAAAAAACCAAGACUUUCAAAAGUUUCCAUAUCUUGGCACCAAAAGCCAACUUAGUCCAGUCUCACCACCAAACAUAGCUAGCUUGAAAAGCAACUAAAUUGAAACAUUUCUUGCACCUAUAUUUUAACACUAGUUGUCAUUUGGGGAUUUGAAGAGGGCACUGCAGCCCCUAAGUUUAAAAAACCAAGACUUUAGAAAAUUUCCAAAUCUUGGCACGAAGCACCAAACAUAGCUUCCUUGAAAAGCAACUAAAUUCAAACAUUUCUUGCACCUAUAUUUUGACACUAGUCGUCAUUUCGGGAUUAAAAGAGUGCAAUGCAGCCUCUAAGUCNCUUGAAAAGCAACUAAAUUCAAACAUUUCUUGCACCUAUAUUUUGACACUAGUCGUCAUUUCGGGAUUAAAAGAGUGCAAUGCAGCCUCUAAGUCUAAAAAACCAAGACUAUCAAAAAUUUCAAAAUCUUGGCACCAAGCACCAACUUAGUCUACUCUCACCACCAAACAUAGCCAGCUCAAAAAGCAACUAAAUUGAAACAUUUCUUUUACCUAUACUUUGAAACUAGUCAUCAUUUUGGGAUUUAAAUAAUGCAUUGCUACCCGUAAGUCUAAAAAACAAGACUUUCAAAAAUUUCCAAAUCUUGGCACCAAGCACCAACUUAGUCCGGUCUCACCACAAAACGUAGCUUGCAUGAAAAGCACCAACUUAGUCCAGUCUCACCACAAAACGUGGCUUGCUCGAAAAUCAACUAAAUUGAAACAUUUCUUGCACCUAUACUUUGGAAUUAGUAAUCAUUUGGGGAUUUAAAGAGUGCAUUGCUGCCCCUAAGUCUAAAAAACCCAGACUAUCAAAAAUUUCCAAAUCUUGGCACCAAGCACGAACUUCGUCCAGUCUCACCACCAAACAUACCUUGCUUGAAAAGUAAGAAAAUUGAAACAGUUUUUGCACCUAUAUUGUCUUUUGGGGAUUUAAAGAGUGCAUUGCAACCCCUAAGUCUAAAAAACUAAAACUUUCAAAAAUUUCCAAAUCUUGAACCAAGCACCAACUUAGUACAGUCUCACCACCAAAAAUAGCUUGCUUGAAAAGCAACCAAAUUGAAACCUUUCUUGCACCUACAUUUUGACACUAGUCGUCAUUUGGGGAUUUAAAGAGGGCGUUGCAGCCCCUAAGUCUAAAAAACAUAGACUUUAAAAAAUUUCCAAAUCUUGGCACCAAGCACCAACUUAGUACAGUCUCACCACCAAACAUAACUUGCUUGAAAAGCAAGUAAGUGGAAACAUUUCUUGCACCUAUAUUUUGACACUAAUUAUCAUUUAGGCAUUUAUAGAGUGCAUUGCUACCCCUAAGUCUAAAAAACCAUGACUUUCAAAAGUUUCCCAAUCUUGGCACCAAACGCCAACUUAGUCCAGUCUCACCACCAAACAUAGCUAGCUUGAAAACCAACUAAAUUGAAACAUUUCCUGCACCUAUAUUUUGACACUAGUCGUCACUUAGGGAUUUAAAGAGUGCAUUGCAGCCCCUAGGUCUAAAAAACCAAGACCAAAAGUUUCCAAAUCUUGGCACCAAGCACCAACUUAGUAUAGUCUCACCAAAAAAUAUAGCUUGCUUGAAAAGGAACUAAAUGGAAACAUUUCUUGCACCUAUAUUUUGACACUAAUUAUCAUUUGGGCAUUUAUAGAGUGCAUUGCUGCCGCCAAGUCUAAAAAAAUAGACUUUCAAAAAUUUCCAAAUCUUGGCACCAAGCACCAACUUAGUCCAGUCUCACCACAAAACGUAGCUUGGUUGAAAAGCAACUAAAUUGAAACAUUUCUUCCACAUAUAUUUUGACACUGGUCGUCAUUUGGGGAUUUAAAGAGUGCAAUGCAGCCCCUAAGUCUAGAAAACCCAGACUAGAAAAAAUUUUCAAAUUUUGGCACCAAGCACGAACUUCGUCCAGUCUCACCACCAAACAUACCUUGCUUGAAAAGUAACAAAAUUGAAACAGUUUUUGCAGCUAUAUGUUGACACUACUCGUCAUUUUGGGAUUUAAAGAGUGCAUUGCAGCCCCUAAGUCUAAAAAACUAACACUUUCCAAAAAUUUCUUGCACCUACAUUUUGACUCUAGUCGUCAUUUGGGGAUUUAAAGAGGGCAUUGCAUCCCCUAUGUCUAAAAAACAGAGACUUUAAAAAAUUUCUAAAUCUUGGCACCAAGCACCAACUUAGUACAGUCUCACCACCAAACAUAGCUUGCUUGAAAAGCAACUAAAUGAAAACAUUUCUUGCACCUAUAUUUUGACACUAGUCAUCAUUUCGGGAUUAAAAGAGUGCAAUGCAGCCUGUAAGUCUAAAAAACCAAGACUAUCAAAAAUUUCCAAAUCUUGGGACCAAGCACCAACUUAGUCCACUCUCCCACCAAACAUAGCCAGCUCGAAAAGCAACUAAAUUGAAACAUUUCUUUUACCUAUACUUUGAAACUAGUCAUCAUUUGGGGAUUUAAAUAGUGCAUUGCUGCCCCUAAGUCUAAAAAACAAGACUUUCAAAAAUUUCCAAAUCUUGGCACCAAGCACCAACUUAGUAUAGUCUCACCACAAAACGUAGCUUGCUUGAAAAAAAACUAAAUUGAAACAUUUCUUGCACAUAUAUUUUGACACUAGUCUUCAUUUGGGGAUUUAAAGAGUGCAAUGCAGCCCCUAAGUUUAAAAAACCAAGACUAUCAAAAAUUUCCAAAUCUUGGCACCAAGCACGAACUUCGUCCAGUUUCACAACCAAACAUACCUUGCUUGAAAAGUAACAAAAUUGAAACAGUUUUUGCACGUAUAUUUUGACACUACUCGUCAUUUUGGGAUUUAAAGAGUGCAUUGCAGCCCCUAAGUCUAAAAAACCAAGACUUUCAAAAGUUUCCAN
RNAcentral lists this long non-coding RNA (2998 nucleotides) under Vigna radiata. RNAcentral describes it as "long non-coding RNA (VRAD_LNC017726)". Lineage: Eukaryota; Viridiplantae; Streptophyta; Magnoliopsida; Fabales; Fabaceae. The record is from RNAcentral.